Physella acuta is the source of this 669-nucleotide long non-coding RNA. RefSeq lists it as uncharacterized. NCBI's taxonomy places the organism in Eukaryota, Metazoa, Mollusca, Gastropoda, Physidae. The record is from RefSeq and is a predicted model, not a curated record.
CUAGACUUGACGUCAGCUAAGGCUGUGAGGUUAAACGAUGGAUACUUAUCAUCUCUAGACACCCGUGCCAAAAAAAAUUCCUGGUGGAGCAAGAAGUCACUAGAUUCUUCCAAUGAUUACCAAAGUCUUCUUCAAGACUUGAAAAGCUAUGAUACAAGCGAAUUCAUCGAUUCCAAGGAUACAAUAAUCUCCCUCUUCAGUUGUUAUGUGCAGAUAUGCGCCCCAAAGUUCGUCAGGUGCGCGCAAGAUUAUCCCGACAUCGAGGGGUUCGAGGGCUGCAAGGGCGAACAUCUGACCUGCUCCAAAUCUUGCUUAAACCGAUCCAGCCUCGUCUGACUGACGUCAUAGGGCGACGUCACGUCACAUGUGAUACGCUGACCGUGUGGACGUCAUGGGCAGCACACACACACACACACACCACAUUCCAUGACGUCACACCGUUGUGAUGUUCGAUGUCCCCACUAAGAUUGGCUUUCAAAAGAGAAUUAAAAUUUAAGAAAAAAAAAGUUGUUCCAAUGUAUAUUUCUUUUUCCCACUCUACGUCUCAAACACUACACUAUUGUUUUAGUUUUUUGUUGAAUAGCUGAUUUAUAAAUCUAAUAGCGUAAACAUUUUUUUAAAACUGCAACAAUAAAUAUAAAAGGAAUGGAAAAAAAUAAAUAUAGAACA